This 68-nucleotide transfer RNA is filed under the name Marmota monax (woodchuck). RNAcentral describes it as "tRNA.Ala". The record is from RNAcentral. Lineage: Eukaryota; Metazoa; Chordata; Mammalia; Rodentia; Sciuridae.
GGAUUGUGGCUCAGCGGUGGAGCGCUUGCUUUGCACGUCUGAGGCACUGGGUUCGAUCCUCAGCACCA